UAAGGAAUAUUGGUCAAUGGACGAAAGUCUGAACCAGCCAUCCCGCGUGCAGGAAGAAGGGGCUCUGCCUUGUAAACUGCUUUUGAAUGGGACGAAAGAGCUAUAUGCGUAUAGUGUUGACGGUACCAUUAGAAUAAGCACCGGCUAACUCCGUGCCAGCAGCCGCGGUAAUACGAAGGGAGCUAGCGUUGUUCGGAAUCACUGGGCGUAAAGCGCACGUAGGCGGAUAGUUAAGUCAGGGUGAAAUCCUGGGGCUCAACCCCAGAACUGCCUUUGAUACUGGCUGUCUCGAGGUCGAGAGAGGUUGGUGGAAUUCCUAGUGUAGAGGUGAAAUUCGUAGAUAUUAGGAAGAACACCAGUGGCGAAGGCGGCCAACUGGCUCGAUACUGACGCUGAGGUGCGAAAGCGUGGGGAGCAAACAGGAUUAGAUACCCACGUAGUCCCUGAGCGGGCUGGCAAGGCGCAU
RNAcentral lists this ribosomal RNA (466 nucleotides) under uncultured bacterium. RNAcentral describes it as "bacterial SSU rRNA". It matches the Rfam family "Bacterial small subunit ribosomal RNA", at positions 355 to 825 of the family's 1533-position model. The record is from RNAcentral.